RNAcentral lists this ribosomal RNA (524 nucleotides) under uncultured bacterium. RNAcentral describes it as "partial 16S ribosomal RNA". It matches the Rfam family "Bacterial small subunit ribosomal RNA", at positions 28 to 523 of the family's 1533-position model. The record is from RNAcentral.
GACGAACGCUGGCGGCGUGCCUAACACAUGCAAGUCGAACGCUCCUUUUUCCACCGGAGCUUGCUCCACCGGAAAAAGAGGAGUGGCGAACGGGUGAGUAACACGUGGGUAACCUGCCCAUCAGAAGGGGAUAACACUUGGAAACAGGUGCUAAUACCGUAUAACAAUCGAAACCGCAUGGUUUUGAUUUGAAAGGCGCUUUCGGGUGUCGCUGAUGGAUGGACCCGUGUUGCAUUAGCUAGUUGGUGAGGUAACGGCUCACCAAGGCGACGAUGCAUAGCCGACCUGAGAGGGUGAUCGGCCACAUUGGGGCGGAGACACGGCCCAAACUCCUACGGGAGGCAGCAGUAGGGAAUCUUCGGCAAUGGACGAAAGUCUGACCGAGCAACGCCGCGUGAGUGAAGAAGGUUUUCGGAUCGUAAAACUCUGUUGUUAGAGAAGAACAGGGAUGAGAGUAACUGUUCAUCCCUUGACGGUAUCUAACCAGAAAGCCACGGCUAACUACGUGCCAGCCGCCGCAGUAA